UCUCGUCAAAUGUCGUUUAUUGAACGUGGUGGUCAGAGAACGUAGUCAAAUUUUCACAGACGAAAAAAGAAAAAUGGCUACCACAAGGCUGCAACUGCAGCCGAUGACCAUACUCGGUUAUGCUGCAUUUUUUACAGUAAUAUUAUGAAACGCAGCGUUGGAAAGAAACUUCGUUCUUCAAAGUGAAAGCAGGUCAAAAGAGAAGAUUACAGAUGGCAUCCUUGUAUGAACGAGACAAAUGUCGAAUGUCAAGCGGAAACGAAUAACAGAAUGAACGUCGCAGUGACGUAAUGGCAACAUCUUGGUUUGGUUCAAAACCCGUGCAAGAAACAGAAUGCAAUUAACUAAUUGAAAUGAAAUACUCAUUGAAAAACUACUAGCGGCUGCAAUACUACAGAGUGCUGUGCAUGGAAGUUUUCGUACGGUCCUGUGGCUCGGGGAUCCGGUUGGAUAACUCUCCAGAGAAGUUCUGAAGAGGUUGUAUCAGCCGCAGGCUGAAAACGUUCGCAACAAAGUAACUGAUCCUUGAUGUUCAAACUGGAUCGAUUUGAAAUGGAGAUUUGUUCAACAACACUGCGUGUUCCCUCCCAUCAGAGAGAUUAUCUUGUCAGUUUCUUCUUUGUGCCUAUGGUGGAACACUAGAUCGCCGAACUUACAAUUCCUGGCGUUGUUUGAUGCUGUUCAUUGAAGGAAAUCCGAUGCUGCUGUUGGAGAUUCGCCGUUUCUCAGCAAACUGUGGAGCUGUCAACGAACAAGUAACUUUAAUUGUAAGAUAGUACGUAAGAGACAAUCGUGGCUUCAGUUUUUUUCAAGUACUUUAGAGUGCAAUUUAAAGAAUCCUGUGAUUUUUCAAUUUUUAAUAAGUUAAAUUACUGAACAAAAAUCAGGUAGCUAGAUAGUCAUUACUAAACAGUGGAUUCUGCUAAGACCAAGAACUCUUAAUUUAUCGGAAAAUUGUGUUACCUACCUAUUUUACACCAGUGCAAUGGAAUGGAAUGAAUUCUAGCCCAUCACACGGAAUGGCGUUUGAGAUAAUUCUACCAACUGAGUAAUUUGGUAGUCUAGUACAUUGGGUGCUUAAUUGCUAGUUUUUACUCCUUUUUUACUCGGAUAUUUUUUUUUCGAGAAAGAGAAUGUUGAUU
This is a long non-coding RNA of Sabethes cyaneus, 1142 nucleotides long. RefSeq lists it as uncharacterized. The transcript is spliced from 4 exons. Lineage: Eukaryota; Metazoa; Arthropoda; Insecta; Diptera; Culicidae. The record is from RefSeq and is a predicted model, not a curated record.